RNAcentral lists this long non-coding RNA (3452 nucleotides) under Sinocyclocheilus anshuiensis. RNAcentral's name for it is "lncRNA (ENSSANG00000012608.1)". Lineage: Eukaryota; Metazoa; Chordata; Actinopteri; Cypriniformes; Cyprinidae. The record is from RNAcentral.
AUGGUCUUUUCUUUGGAUGAAGGAAGUGGAGUUAUAUUCUCUCCAUUGAUAGAGGUUAUUGGGAAGGAGGAUGACGCUGGUAGUGGCGUGGUCCUUUCAUUUUUAGCAGUGAUAUCAAUGGAGACUGGUGGAGGUUUGUUCUUCUCAUCACUGGAGCCUAAUGAAGCAGAGAUUGUCUCAGUGGUUGAAGCUAGUGGAGGUGCAGCAUUUUCUUUAGUUGGGGAUUUUGCAGGUGUGGUCUUGUCAUUAGUUGAAGCUGGUGAAGGUUUGGUCUUUUCAUUAGUUGUCUCAUUGGUUGAGGCUGGUGGAGGCAUAGUCUCUUCAUUAUUUGUCUUUCUACUAGCUGAGUCUAAUGAAGACGUAGUCUUUUCAUUAGUUGAAGCUGGUGGAGUUGUAGUCAUUUCAUUAGUUAAGUCUGAUGGAGGUGUGGUCUUGUCAUCACCUGAGCCUAAUGUAGUGGAGGUAGACUCAACGGUUGAUGAUGCAGAAUGUGUGGUCUUUUCAUUACCUAAGCCAGGCAAAGCAGAGAUUGUCUCGUUAUUUGAGGCUGGUGGAGGCUUCUUCUUUUUAUUAGAUGAGGCUGGUGAUUGUGCGAGCUUUUCAUCAGUUGAUGCUAGUAGAUACAUAUCUUUUUCAUCAGUUGUCUUUCUAUCAGCUGAGUCUGAAGGAGGUGUUGUCUUUGCAUUAGUUGAGACUGGUAAACUGGAGAUGACCUCAUUAGUUGAGGCAGGCAGAGGUUUGUUCUCGUCAUCACUGGAGCCUAAUGAAGCAGAGAUUGUCUCAGUUGUUGUUGCUGGUGGAGGUGUAGUCUUUCCUUUAGCUGAGACAUGUAAAGUGGAGGUUUUCUCGUUGGUUGAGGCUUGUGGGGAGGUGGUCUUUUCGAUAGUCGUCCUUUUGUUAGCUGACUCUGAUGGAGUUUUGUUCUUUUCAUUAGUUGAGGCAGGCAGAGUUUUGUUCUUGUCAUCAGUGGAGCCUAAUGAAGCAGAGAUUGUCUCAGUUGUUGUUCCUGGUGGAGGUGUAGUCUUUCCUUCAGUUGAGGCAGGUAAAGUGGAGGUUUUCUCAUUGGUUGAGGCUUGUGGGGUCUUUUCGAUAGUUGUUGGUUUUUCAGGUGUGGUUGUUGCAUUGGGUGAGGCUGCUGGGGGAGUAGGUGUAGUCUUUCCUUCAGUUGAGGCAGGUAAAGUGGAGGUUUUCUCAUUGGUUGAGGCUUGUGGGGUCUUUUCGAUAGUUGUUGGUUUUUCAGGUGUGGUUGUUGCAUUGGGUGAGGCUGCUGGGGGAGUGGUCUUUUCAUUAGUUGUUUUUUUAUUAGCUGAGUUUGAUAGAGUUGUGUUGUUGUUAUCACUUGAGGCUGGUAAACUGAAGGCCGUAUCAUCUGUUGAGGCUGGUUUAGCGGUAAACUUUUUACUGACCUGGCCAGACUGCUCGGUGGAUGCUUCAGUGGCUUCGGAUGAAAAUGAGCUCAGAGAUAGACUUUCAUUAUUGGAUGGUAUUUCAGGUAAGGUAUUUCCAAGUAUUUCUUCUCCAGACUGCUUAAGACUGUCAGAUAACUGAUCUCCUGUCUCUACAGAGUGUAUAUCGCCAUUCACUUUGGAUGUCGUUUCUGUGCUGGUGAUUUUACUCUUGGUUUCUUUGGUGCCUCCCUUUUUAGUUUCAGUGCCAGGCUUUUGUUGUUGCAAAUCCCUUUUACUAGAUACCGUCUGUGUCUUCUGUUCUUCUCCGCUCUCUGAUUGGCUCUGUGGGGGCGGCCCAUCUCUUUUGGGACCGCCUCCCUCUGUAGGUGCAAUUUGAGGUGAAAUUAUGCUGUCCAUUUGGUCAUUUUGGUCCAGUGCAGGGUUUGGUGUUGCCGGUGUCUUGCUUGUAGAAGUGGUGUUUUCUUUAGUCUGAUCGGACAAUUCAGCGCAAGAGUUUUUCUCAGUAGUCUGAGUUUCUUUGCCUUGACUGGUUGCCAUAAUUGUUGUGUCUUCCUGUCUCACAGCAGAGGUGUCCUUUGAUUUACCUUGUUUUGAUUUACCUUCUACUUUCUGCUCGGUUGGCUUUGAUGUAUUGACUUCAUUAUGUUUGUGUGUCUCAGUUGUUUCUGUAACAAGGUCGUAUUUCUGGUUCUGACUGGUAAUCUCAGUCAAACAGUCUUUUUCUUGACUCUUUUGGUUAAUCUUUGACAGUCUUUGUGCCGAUUUUGAGUUAUUUUCAGGGGUGUUUUCCGCUUUAGACACAAACGCAGUGGUGUCUUUCUCAGGUAAGACCAGCGUAUCCGUCUCACUCCCUCUGUUUCGCAUGGCAUCAUUCCUAAAGGGUGCAGCGCUGCUAUUGGCUGGCUCAGAGGAGUCUUUAGAUCUGGCCUCCUUCAGGUCAUCUGGGGACGGUGGUUUUUCAUGUUUUGUCACAGAUGGAUCUGGUUUCCCUGACUCUCCAAACAAUGAGUUUACAAUCAAGUCUCUGUUCCUCUGCUCGUCUCCCUGCUCUCCUUCUGAGCACUGCUUUUUGUUGCUGUUUUUUUGUUUCUCUUUCAUUUUUGAGUCGAUGUCGGUCCGUAUCUUCUCUUUAUUUGAGCUGUUCUUUCUGGAUAUAGAAGGAUGUGUAUCAGAAGCCACUAUCUGUGCUUCAAAGUCACCGCUAUUCCCUCUCUCCUCAUCCUUGCUUUUCACUUCUGUAGGAACUUUUGUGUCAGCAUGUGAAGUCUUCUUUGAGUCAGAUUUUUUCUUUGUGCUUUGCAUAAUUUCUGCUGCUUUCUCCAACUUCGGAGGAACUGUAGGUUUUUUGCUUGCGACCUCCCCAGCAGAGUUGGGUCUUUCUUUAUUAGAAGUGCUCGGCUCUGUGGUCUUUACCACGUCUCUUGCAUCUACAAGAGGUUUGUCCUUGUUGUCCUUGACCUCCUGUUUACCUUGACCCAUUUCUUGUUUAGUGGGGCUCAGCAGAUCUUUGCCUCGACGUUUUUUCGAUCGCGUGCCUGUCCGGUUUGGUGAUUUCACCUGCGGUGUCUCAUCAGUAGGUGAUGAAACCGUCGGGAGAGAAUCUGCCUCUUUAUUCCCAAUGUUUGAGUCACUUGUGCUCUCUAACAAUGCAGGUGUUGCAUUGUAGGAUUUAGAGUCUGUUUGAUCUAUAGUUAAAUGAGGUUUGGAUUUAACCUUUGGCUCUCCGCUGGUAUCCGUCUUUGCUGUAGAUUUUUCAAAACGUCCAGAAUAAGAUAUUUCAGCCGUUUUUGAAUGUCCUUCGUUCAACGUACGACCAGACGGCAACGUCAGCUUCUGUUCCCCCCUUCGCCCCGCGCUGAGAUUCUUCGCCCUCUCUUUAACCGUUUGGUUUGGAGGUGCAGAACUGGACCGCGUUCCGGCAUGUUCUGUGAAAUCUCUGAGACGACUGGCCACAUUUCGAGCUGGAGAAAUAUCCAGGCGAAGCAGGUUUGUGGAGCUACUAACUGCACUGGUGGCUCCUCUCUCGAACAGACUGAUUUUGUC